Molecule: unclassified non-coding RNA, 371 nt
Filed under: soil metagenome
Description: partial contains 5.8S ribosomal RNA, internal transcribed spacer 2, and large subunit ribosomal RNA
Rfam family: 5.8S ribosomal RNA (bases 1-120)
Source: RNAcentral
GAUGAAGAACGUAGCGAAAUGCGAUAAGUAAUGUGAAUUGCAGAAUUCAGUGAAUCAUCGAAUCUUUGAACGCACAUAGCGCCCCCUGGAAUUCCGGGGGGCAUGCCUGUUCGAGCGUCUCAGGGACGAACCCUCGCGCGGGUGUACGCGCGGUCGUGGCUGCGGUGGCGUGCCCGAGGCGGCGGCCACCGCGCUGGAAUCCAUGGGCGGACGCCUGCCGCGUGGCCGAGCGUGAUAUGACGCAUUGGCGCUCGCACGCGGCGAGGCUGCCAGCCCUGGCCCGUCUGUCGGGCGGGGGAGAGCAAGACACGUGAACUCCUCGAAUCAGGUAGGGAUACCCGCUGAACUUAAGCAUAUCAAUAAGCGGAGGA